GAUGAACGCUGGCGGCGUGCCUAAUACAUGCAAGUCGAGCGAACAGACGAGGAGCUUGCUCCUCUGACGUUAGCGGCGGACGGGUGAGUAACACGUGGAUAACCUACCUAUAAGACUGGGAUAACUUCGGGAAACCGGAGCUAAACCGGAUAAUAUAUUGAACCGCAUGGUUCAAUAGUGAAAGACGGUUUUGCUGUCACUUAUAGAUGGAUCCGCGCCGCAUUAGCUAGUUGGUAAGGUAACGGCUUACCAAGGCGACGAUGCGUAGCCGACCUGAGAGGGUGAUCGGCCACACUGGAACUGAGACACGGUCCAGACUCCUACGGGAGGCAGCAGUAGGGAAUCUUCCGCAAUGGGCGAAAGCCUGACGGAGCAACGCCGCGUGAGUGAUGAAGGUCUUCGGAUCGUAAAACUCUGUUAUUAGGGAAGAACAAAUGUGUAAGUAACUAUGCACGUCUUGACGGUACCUAAUCAGAAAGCCACGGCUAACUACGUG
RNAcentral lists this ribosomal RNA (496 nucleotides) under uncultured bacterium. RNAcentral's name for it is "partial 16S ribosomal RNA". It matches the Rfam family "Bacterial small subunit ribosomal RNA", at positions 28 to 507 of the family's 1533-position model. The record is from RNAcentral.